RNAcentral lists this long non-coding RNA (203 nucleotides) under Mytilus galloprovincialis (Mediterranean mussel). The record is from RNAcentral. Lineage: Eukaryota; Metazoa; Mollusca; Bivalvia; Mytilida; Mytilidae.
GUGUUUCUCCACAUUCAGUAUCUUUAUUAAAAUCAUAUCUUUCUGAUAGAAAACAGCAAAUUAAAGUAAACGGUGUUCUGAGUAGCUGGGCUGACAUCCAAAAAGGGGUACCCCAAGGUUCUAUAUUGGGGCCCCUUUUAUUUAAUAUCUUCAUAAAUGAUAUUUUUUAUUUUGUUAAACAUGGUACAUUAUAUAAUUAUGCG